GUUCAUGUUUUGCAAAUCCAACUAUCUAUGCUUGGCAAGGAGAGAGCUGGGAAACAAGGUUAAAAAUGAAUCCCAGUUCUCCAAACCCAUUCCAUGGAUAUUGAACAUGGGCUGUAGUAAAAAGUCUC
Long non-coding RNA from Suricata suricatta (meerkat), 128 nucleotides. RefSeq lists it as uncharacterized. The record is from RefSeq and is a predicted model, not a curated record. The transcript is spliced from 2 exons. NCBI's taxonomy places the organism in Eukaryota, Metazoa, Chordata, Mammalia, Carnivora, Herpestidae.